Molecule: long non-coding RNA, 1481 nt
Filed under: Gallus gallus (chicken)
Lineage: Eukaryota; Metazoa; Chordata; Aves; Galliformes; Phasianidae
Description: lncRNA (ENSGALG00010000544.1)
Source: RNAcentral
AGUGCUGCUUUUUCACCGAAACAAAGCAGACAGCCUUUCCCAGCAGAGCGUGCAGGGUGGCUGUUGUGGGAGAGGUGAGGUUAUUCCUGAAAGGAGAAAGGUGCAGAGACCCGAGUGACUCCAGUGUGUUUGGGCAUUGCGCUCAAAACUAUGCAGCAGCCAGCCUUUCAGCAAGGGUAGAGCACAGAGGGGCAAUAGAGCUGUUGUUCUGUGUGCCAGGCUUAGAGGCCUGGACAGUUUGCAGCAAUUCUUCCCAAGGCUGCAAUAGAGAAGUGACCUUUGGAAGGAGAUGUUGCCACUGUGAUCUGCUCUGAUCCUUAGCAGUGUGAGCUUAGAAAGUCGGCACAGAUGAAGUUACAGUUUAGUGUGAGGCUGAGUGCUUGGACCUGUUUCUUCCUUCUUUUAAGAGCAAUAUGUAUUUUGUAUCUAUUUUUAAGUUAAUCGGAAAUGUUAUUUAUAGUCGGUUGUGCACCUCUGUGUAUUCUGAAGUCUCACAGCACAGGACUGGGUGGGAAAACCUGAGAGACUGGAAAGAACGUGGAAGCGAUGGUUGAGGGAAAAAACAGAUGGCCAGUCUGCUCCAAAGGUCAGUCUGAAAGGAUUUCAGAGGCAAAUGGCAGACAGGCAGGAGUUUACACUGACUGGAGACACAGGGCAAAACCUGCCUAACUUAUGUACUCUAAUUAUGAUAUGAGAGAGUGAGAAUAAUUCAGUACUUUUCUUUGUGAACCAAGUUUGUUUUUUAACCUUAUUCAGCUCAGGAACAUUGCCACAGUAGCAAGUACAUGGUGUUCACUUCCUGAGAAAGCUGUGCAGCACCAUCUACACUUCCACAGAGCAUAGUUUAGUAGCAAUUUGCUUCUUUCUUUCUUCCUUUUUUUUUUUUUUUUUCUUUUCUGAAAUAUAAAUGUAUUGCAAACCCCAGGCUCUGCUGCCUUUGGCAUUUUAUCCUUGUUCAUCCUCUCAAUACGUCAGCUGCUUUUAUUAGCUACCGAGACAAUUUCCGUUGAGAGACCUGAGGGGCUUUUAUUUAUCACCAAGCACAAAGAAGGGUCUUUUUUCAACAAUGUUGAGAUUACCCCCCUGCUCGUGCCCCUGUUUUUUAUGCAUGUGAUGUGCACACUGUAAUGUGCUUUCCUCCUAUUAACAUUCUGAGAACAGUAGGUAGUUUUGCUUUUAUGUGACGUACAAAUAUAUCCGUAUUGCACUGAGAUAUGCAUAUAUAUAUACACAGACAUAUAGCCCCUUAGGGAUUUCCUUUUCUUAGAUGCAAAAUAACAGAUUUACCUCAAUUUGCAUGCUUUCAAAACUGAAUAGGAUAUUGUGUUAUACUUUUCAGGUCUUACGAAGAUGCAGAUAUGUUUCACUCUUCACACAAAAAUACCUUCAUCACAGAUUUUGCAAGCUGUGUACUACAAUCCAUGUACUGCUGUCUGGAGUUUUGUCGGUUGUUCUGCUGGAAUACGUGCAAUAAUAAACAG